UACGGAGGGUGCAAGCGUUAAUAGGAAUUACUGGGCGUAAAGCGCACGCAGGCGGUUUGUUAAGCUAGAUGUGAAAGCCCCGGGCUCAACCUGGGAUGGUCAUUUAGAACUGGCAGACUAGAGUCUUGGAGAGGGGAGUGGAAUUCCAGGUGUAGCGGUGAAAUGCGUAGAUACCUGGAGGAACAUCAGUGGCGAAGGCGACUCCCUGGCCAAAGACUGACGCUCAUGUGCGAAAGUGUGGGUAGCGAACAGG
Molecule: ribosomal RNA, 253 nt
Filed under: uncultured bacterium
Lineage: Bacteria
Description: partial 16S ribosomal RNA
Rfam family: Bacterial small subunit ribosomal RNA
Source: RNAcentral